AAAGUGCUCCCUCCGUCCGGAAAUACUUGUCGAAGAAAUGGAUGAAAAUGGAUGUAUCUAGAACUAAAAUACGCCUAGAUACAUCCAUUUCUCCGACAAGUAUUUCCGGACAGAGGAAGUAAUUU
This is a non-coding RNA of Triticum aestivum (bread wheat), 125 nucleotides long. The record is from Rfam. NCBI's taxonomy places the organism in Eukaryota, Viridiplantae, Streptophyta, Magnoliopsida, Poales, Poaceae.